Molecule: non-coding RNA, 113 nt
Filed under: Bacillus tuaregi
Lineage: Bacteria; Bacillati; Bacillota; Bacilli; Caryophanales; Bacillaceae
Description: SAM riboswitch (S box leader)
Rfam family: SAM riboswitch aptamer (S box leader)
About the family: The SAM riboswitch is found upstream of a number of genes which code for proteins involved in methionine or cysteine biosynthesis in Gram-positive bacteria.
Source: RNAcentral
UCUUAUCAAGAGAGGUAGAGGGGAUGGCCCAGGGACACCUCAGCAACCUUCAAUGUUAAGCAUUGAAAAGGUGCUAAAUCCAGCAAGUUUACGAAUAAACUUGAAAGAUAAGA